This is a long non-coding RNA of Megalobrama amblycephala (Wuchang bream), 396 nucleotides long. RefSeq lists it as uncharacterized. The transcript is spliced from 2 exons. Lineage: Eukaryota; Metazoa; Chordata; Actinopteri; Cypriniformes; Xenocyprididae. The record is from RefSeq and is a predicted model, not a curated record.
CGGUCCUGCCGGUGAUUUUCUCAGAUGAGGCCUUGAGUUUUCUCUUUCGUCGGUCGAAAAGGUAUUUUAAAUUUUAGUUUAGCAGACAUUAGCUACCAUAACCACUGUUUAUCUUGUAAAGUUUAAAUUAUAUGACAAGAUUACAUUUACAAACGUUUGCUGAAGUUGUUGUCCGUCGCGGCUGACCGUUACGGCCUAUCUUCAAAUGUACGCUAAUCUUGGUCUCACGAAUCCAAAUUGUUAGAAGCCAUCGAAAAAACUGCCAUCGGACUACCACAGCUGACAACGAGAGACGCGCGUGCACAACUGCAUAACACACACACACACACACACGGAAAGAGCACAACAAUUAUGAAACUGCUCAUUUAUUAUAAAUAAAUAAAUGUAUUUUUCUCC